GUAGGGAUCAUUUCCGGUAAAAAAAGCGAAAGCUUUUUUAACCAAAACCUACCUUGUGCAAUGGAGCACACGGCUCGUGCAUCGAUGAAGCCCGCGGCAAAAAGCGAUAUGUAAUGAGAUUCGUUAGCCUCGAGAUUCAUCAAAUUGGUGAACACAUACUGGACCUCUUCGGAGGUACUUGCGUUAGAGUGCUAGUUUUAUAUCAAUUGAUCCUGGUAAAAGGUGUAUUAUAUCGUAAGAUAUUUCACGCUCUAGCCAGUGAAGCCGGAUUUUCUUUGGAGAAUCCGGAUUGUUCCUGUUAGAGUUGCAUAGUCCUUAUCACAAGGUUUCUUUACAACGGACAUAUAGUACGGAAUCUACGGACCCCGAAAUAUGAAAGGUUAUCAUUCAACCCCUCCAUCAUUGUCUAGAUUUUGAAGGUUAAGGAGGCCCUACUGAGGUUAAUAUACGUGUUUACAUAUUAUUAUCUCGAUCAAGGCAAUAACUUCGCUAACAUAUAGGGCAAUCAACCCAUUUAUUAUAACUGGCCUCUAAUGUGAGAGGGUACCCCCUGGAUUUAAGCAUAUUAAUAAGGGGAGGAAAAGAAAUCAACAGAGAUUCUCCUAGUACCUGCGAGGGAAAAGAGAAAAGCCCAUCCUGAAUCUAAGGUUUUGCCUUGGAGUUGUGGGGUGCGGAUGCUGUUCCUUGGAUAGAGAAUCGUGAAAUUACCUGCAAAGGUAUUCACAAGUGAAUCCAUAGAGGGUGUUAGGCCCGUUAGCGGUUCGUUCUGUCCUGUAAGGAAUGGUAUCUACGAGUAGGAUUGUUUGAUAGUACAAUCUGAAUAUAGGGGAUAAACUUCCUCUAAGGCUAAAUAUAAUGCACGAGACCGUUAGUAAACAAGUACCGUGAGGGAACGUUGAAAAGUACUCUGGUAAGAGGGUGAAAAGAGUGUGAAAUUGCAUAGGUUUAAGCGUAACCAAGUACCGAAUCCUGUAGUGUUCUCUUUGGUUCAUUAUAGGUAUCUAACAACUCUGUUCCUGUCAUUAGACGGGGAUUGGGCUACACAUGUCAAUAAUGCCGUUGUAGAUGCGUCUUACAGAUGAAAGUCUUGUUGCUGUGUCCUCGCUUCACGGCUUGGAUGUGGUACCGGGGCCGUAGCCUUUAGGAUGUGUCGCAAACGACCGGUCAUCUGACAUAUUGUUGGUAUGGUAUUUGGGAACGUCCCGUCUUGAAACACGGACCAAGGAGUCUAGCAUAUCUGCAAGCCGUAGCAAUUUUAAUUGUGAAGGCGUAAUGAAAGUGUAUUGUGUUAACAGCACAAACCGGGCCUUUCGGUCUGAGUUAGAGUAAAUAUGCUAGUACCCGAAAGGUGAUGAACUAUGCCCGGACUGGUUGAAGCCAGGAGAAAUCCUGGUGGAGGACCUCCCGCGGUGCUGACGUGCAAAUCGCUCGUCCGAGCUGGGUAUAGGAGCGAAAGACUCAUCGAAUCGCCUAGUAGCUGGUUCCUGC
RNAcentral lists this unclassified non-coding RNA (1488 nucleotides) under uncultured fungus. Its description in RNAcentral is "sequence contains 18S rRNA gene, ITS1, 5.8S rRNA gene, ITS2, 28S rRNA gene". The stretch from base 525 to 1488 matches the Rfam family "Eukaryotic large subunit ribosomal RNA", at positions 1 to 961 of the family's 3401-position model. The record is from RNAcentral. Lineage: Eukaryota; Fungi.